This 275-nucleotide ribosomal RNA is filed under the name uncultured bacterium. RNAcentral describes it as "partial 16S ribosomal RNA". It matches the Rfam family "Bacterial small subunit ribosomal RNA", at positions 399 to 691 of the family's 1533-position model. The record is from RNAcentral.
GCGUGAGUGAUGAAGGCCCUAGGGUUGUAAAACUCUUUCAACGGUGAAGAUAAUGACGGUAACCGUAGAAGAAGCUCCGGCUAACUUCGUGCCAGCAGCCGCGGUAAUACGAAGGGAGCUAGCGUUGUUCGGAUUUACUGGGCGUAAAGCGCACGUAGGCGGAUCGUUAAGUUAGAGGUGAAAUCCCGGGGCUCAACCCCGGAACUGCCUUUAAUACUGGCGAUCUUGAGUUCGAGAGAGGUGAGUGGAAUUCCGAGUGUAGAGGUGAAAUUCGU